CGGAGGGAAACCGAGUCUUAACCGGGCGUUAAGUUGCAGGGUAUAGACCCGAAACCCGGUGAUCUAGCCAUGGGCAGGUUGAAGGUUGGGUAACACUAACUGGAGGACCGAACCGACUAAUGUUGAAAAAUUAGCGGAUGACCUGUGGCUGGGGGUGAAAGGCCAAUCAAACCGGGAGAUAGCUGGUUCUCCCCGAAAGCUAUUUAGGUAGCGCCUCGUGAAUUCAUCUCCGGGGGUAGAGCACUGUUUCGGCUAGGGGGCCAUCCCGGCUUACCAACCCGAUGCAAACUGCGAAUACCGGAGAAUGUUAUCACGGGAGACACACGGCGGGUGCUAACGUCCGUCGUGAAGAGGGAAACAACCCAGACCGCCAGCUAAGGUCCCAAAGUCAUGGUUAAGUGGGAAACGAUGUGGGAAGGCCCAGACAGCCAGGAUGUUGGCUUAGAAGCAGCCAUCAUUUAAAGAAAGCGUAAUAGCUCACUGGUCGAGUCGGCCUGCGCGGAAGAUGUAACGGGGCUAAACCAUGCACCGAAGCUGCGGCAGCGAACGUAUCACUUAAAGCGAUUCAGCGGGUUACGAUUGACGGAGCGAAGCGACGUCAAAGCGUAUACAAAGUCGAGUCGGUUUAAGGAUACGUUCGUUGGGUAGGGGAGCGUUCUGUAAGCCUGUGAAGGUGGCCUGUGAGGGUUGCUGGAGGUAUCAGAAGUGCGAAUGCUGACAUAAGUAACGAUAAAGCGGGUGAAAAGCCCGCUCGCCGGAAGACC
Molecule: ribosomal RNA, 764 nt
Filed under: Salmonella enterica subsp. enterica serovar Mikawasima
Lineage: Bacteria; Pseudomonadati; Pseudomonadota; Gammaproteobacteria; Enterobacterales; Enterobacteriaceae
Description: partial 23S ribosomal RNA
Rfam family: Bacterial large subunit ribosomal RNA
Source: RNAcentral